AAAAUAAAAAUGCACUUAUUACUUCGAUGGCAAUUCUAUUAAUGAAUAAUAAUAAAUUUUUAAUGUUUUAAUGUACAUAUAUCGUGUGUGCUUUGCCAAUUAUUUUUUUCAUAAUUAAACGCUUAAUAAUUCUUCCUGCGAACAAGAAUUAAGGGAACUUUAUUAAAUGACUGCAUAUUUAUGUCUUCUUUGGGACUAAAGACCGCAAAUUCAUUGGAGAGUUUGGUUUCAAGGAAAUCCAAUUCCAUUUCUGAGAUGGAGAAAUGCAUAAAGCAGUAAAUUGUCAAAAAAAAAAACACCAUCUUGGACGAAUCCUUAAUGCGUUGUACGAGCAGAGACAGUAGGAGUUUAAGAAAAUAAAAGGAAAUAACGUUGUCACUCCAUUUAUGGUUUACUUAUUGCUGCUUUGGUUGGUAUAAGAGCACUCACCGUAGCUAUGGCUAUCAGUUUAUUGGCUUUUUUAAAAAUUGUAUUUGUAAUUUAAUUUGUUAAAAUUUACAUACAUCCACGUUUAUUACUCUAAACUUAAAAUUUGUGUACACAUUUUAGUUAAUUUAAUUUGAGAUAAAAGUUAGCUAAUUACUUUUAAACUUUUGAUAGCCGCAAAUAAAUAACAAGUUAGAAAAUCAUAUUCGGCCACGACCGAAUCCAUCACCGUGAUCAUAAAUAGAAGCAAAAGAAUUAAAUUUUCCUACUAUAUAGUGUCGAGUGGGCACGAUUGAUUGUUUCUAUUCUUAAAAUAAAAGUGGAAAUUUAUAUGUUGCAUGUGUUACAAUUUAUGAGUAAAAAGCAAAGAACACACAAAACAAAGAUGCUGAAAAACUUUUGCCAUACAGGGAUGUGUAGGCGUGCUCUUUAAAAAGUUUGGAUUGUUUUUAAAUUCUUUUGCAAAUUUGUUAAUCUUUAUUGUUUAGUUUAUUAUAUCGCUUACAAUGAUCUAUUAAAAUUCAUAAGCAACCUUAAAAAAUAAAGAAGCGUUUUAUUCGUUUCGAGGUAACGCUAGGAAGUCGGAAACAUGCAAAGCCUUUUUUGCCCUUCUCAUGGCUGGCGGUUGUCAUUGUUCUCCUCUUCAAUGAACGAGCAUAAAAAGUAGUUACGAUACAUUGUGCUGGAAAUGUACACAUUGGUCAACAUUGUUUAAUUAAGCACGAUAUUUAAAUUAAAUUGUUUUUCAUAAUUCGCAAAAGUAAUUUCGGGCACUCCAUAUUUUUUUUUAAUUUUUUUUUAUAUUUUGAAAUAACAAUUCAUUUUCUAACAGGUGUUUAUAUUUUUCUUUUGCAGCUAUUUUUUUACAAGCGAAACUUUAAACAAGAUUUGCGGUAACUUUGCUGGAUAUAUAUUCAAUACUUAUGCAAAUUUGUUCUCAGCGACAGCAAUUUUUUGUCGCCGAAUUUGACGUAACUGAGAGAGCUCUGUCGACAAUCGCCAGAAAAUUUGCCAAUAUUUGGCAAUUCUCUUUGCAAUUUUGGCUUGCUUUCAUGAUUACCCCGCAGAAUAACUGACACUGACGCAAAAAGUGAGCUAUUUUGCUGUCGCGUAAUUUGUUAGAUAUGAGAGAGACUUUUGAAUACGUGAAGUUAAUGAAAGGGUAAUCGUCAAACAAUGAUAAUUACUAUCACGUACGAUAUCAGUCGGUUAGUAAGUUAGUAGGUUGUUGUGCUGAUUAAAGGCUGCCGUACGGAAAAGUGGAUUUUGUUAAAAAUUAAUAAAAAUUGAAUUAAAACUUUGAAAAUUGUAAUAAAUAAGUUGAAAGAAAGCUGUUAAUAAUAGGUGCUAUAAAAAAAAAUCUAAGUACUUAAAAACAUAACAAACUUCGCGAAAUUCUGAAUGGAGAAAAAUUAGUGUUACAUUUUUUUUUUUUUUUUUUUGGUAUGUUGAAUUGAAAUGGACUAAGCCUAGAUUUAGUGUUAAAUAAAAGUAUUUCGUGUUUAAAAUAUUUUAAUCAAUAGUUAGCGUUUCUUAUUUAAGAUGACUAAAUUUAAAGCAAAUUGUACAUUGAAGUAGUUUUUUUCUUUUUGCACGACAUUUCUCCAGCAAAAUAAUUGAAGUCUUACUUAUUUCUAUGUUACGCGUCGUGCUCUUUGUUCGCUGCGUUUGCUUUCUGCAUUUCCGUCCAUUUCAUUCGUGACAGUUAGUGGCAGUUCAUGUACGGCAGUGUUAUAUUUUUUUGUUUGUUCUUGUGUUCCUUAUUUUCGCCUUUUCGUUUCGGCUGAUCCAUUUUAUUUAUGUAAAAAGUGUGUUUUUUCGCGUGUUAUUUAUUUUCAUCUUGGAAUUCGUUCAAUUUUGUUUGUGCUUAAUGAUGUUUUUUUUCACGUCUAAUUUUAAAUGUUAUUUUACUACUUAUUCGAUAAUUUUAUGUUGCGGAAAACAGGGAUUAAAUAAGUUUUUUCAUUUUCCGAAGCUAAUGCGAUUAAAAUAAGUUGAAGUCACAUUUUUUUUUUUAUUUGCAAUAUGUUAUCACACAAUUUCAUUUUAAUUAAUUUUGUAAUUUGAAGCUUUCAAGAAAGCACACAACCUUUAAUGAUAUCACGAAUAAAAAUCAUUUUAUUAAUUUUUACGUCACUUUAAUUAAGUUUGCAUAAAAAGAGUAAAUAUUUUCGAUGCCGAUAUAAAUCAUCAAAAUGGCUUACGAGCCGGUAACUUCAACAUUGCAUAUAAAGAACCUUAAAAAAAUAACAUCUAUGGAAGUAAUUGAAAAUGCACGUAGACUAAAACGAAUAAAAAAAUUCUCAUCAUUGAACCUAGUUGAGUAACAACAUUUUAAAACAAUAACAAAAGCAGCGCCUACAACAUCAUCUGCAUUCAAAUCUCUUUCGUACAAUUCAAGUCGGUCGACAUAACUGGUGGCGCUGGCGUGCGUACAAAAUGUAAGAAACGUUUAUUUUCCUAUUCCCUGUACGAUUCCAUCGUCUACGUCUCGUUCUCCUACGUUUGCUCUGUUGGUUCGCAAACAAUUCGAAUUUUGGUUAUUUUGCCUCUUCCUAAAAUGAGAACGCCUACAAGAACGUCCGGAAGAGGUAUUCGUGCCUAUGUUUGAUGUACUUGCACCGGUGGGUUUUGAGCUACGGUGCCACGCCUUAAUAUCUUCGUCAUCGCGAUGUACUGGUCUGAAAAGUAUAAAAAUAUAUUAAACGAAAUAAAGCAUGCCAACUUUGCUUGUUACGGCUGAUAUUAAUAGCUGCUGAAGUUAGCAAUCCCCAACUGGGUUGUGAUUGCAACAACAGUACAACAUCUGAAGAAGUCACACGCCAAUAGCUGCAGUUCUUGUAGAGUAUGCCUGGUGUAUGCUAAUGCGCCUACCCCCACUCUCGGUCGCUCGUGGUCGCUUUCUCCAUGGAAUAGAAUGAUCCUGAUUGCAAACCAUCCUGUAGUCACGCUGUGUUUGCUACACGCCCUCGAUCUGCUCACCAAGUUUUUAUACCAACAUUUUAAAAUUAUCGUCCAUUUAGCAUAUGGUUUUAAUACUUAUUUUAGCAAUAAUGUAAAAAAUUUGAUAUG
Molecule: long non-coding RNA, 3498 nt
Organism: Glossina fuscipes
Lineage: Eukaryota; Metazoa; Arthropoda; Insecta; Diptera; Glossinidae
Exons: 3
Source: RefSeq, a predicted model, not a curated record